This 912-nucleotide ribosomal RNA is filed under the name Wuestneia molokaiensis. RNAcentral's name for it is "eukaryotic LSU rRNA". It matches the Rfam family "Eukaryotic large subunit ribosomal RNA", at positions 22 to 964 of the family's 3401-position model. The record is from RNAcentral. Lineage: Eukaryota; Fungi; Ascomycota; Sordariomycetes; Diaporthales; Melanconidaceae.
UACCCGCUGAACUUAAGCAUAUCAAUAAGCGGAGGAAAAGAAACCAACAGGGAUUGCCCUAGUAACGGCGAGUGAAGCGGCAACAGCUCAAAUUUGAAAUCUGGCCUCGGCCCGAGUUGUAAUUUGCAGAGGAUGUUUCUGGCGCGGUGCCUUCCGAGUUCCCUGGAACGGGACGCCACAGAGGGUGAGAGCCCCGUAUGGUUGGACACCAAGCCUGUGUGAAACUCCUUCGACGAGUCGAGUAGUUUGGGAAUGCUGCUCUAAAUGGGAGGUAAAUCUCUUCUAAAGCUAAAUACCGGCCAGAGACCGAUAGCGCACAAGUAGAGUGAUCGAAAGAUGAAAAGCACCUUGAAAAGGGGGUUAAACAGUACGUGAAAUUGUUGAAAGGGAAGCGCUCAUGACCAGACUUGUGCCGGGCGGUUCAUCCGGGGUUCUCCCCGGUGCACUCCGCCCGGCUCAGGCCAGCAUCGGUUCUCGUUGGGGGAUAAGAACGGUAGGAACGUGGCCCUCCCUCGGGAGGGUGUUAUAGCCUGCCGUACGAUACCCUGAUGGGGACCGAGGUUCGCGCUCCGCAAGGAUGCUGGCGUAAUGGUCAUCAGCGACCCGUCUUGAAACACGGACCAAGGAGUCGUCCAUUAGAGCGAGCGUUUGGGUGUAAAACCCGCACGCGUAAUGAAAGUGAAAUUAGGUGAGAGCUUCGGCGCAUCAUCGACCGAUCCUGAUGUUCUCGGAUGGAUUUGAGUAAGAGUUUUAACGGACGGACCCGAAAGACAGUGAACUAUGCUUGUAUAGGGUGAAGCCAGAGGAAACUCUGGUGGAGGCUCGCAGCGGUUCUGACGUGCAAAUCGAUCGUCAAAUAUGAGCAUGGGGGCGAAAGACUAAUCGAACUGUCUAGUAGCUGGUUACCGCCGA